This 402-nucleotide ribosomal RNA is filed under the name uncultured prokaryote. RNAcentral describes it as "bacterial SSU rRNA". It matches the Rfam family "Bacterial small subunit ribosomal RNA", at positions 355 to 774 of the family's 1533-position model. The record is from RNAcentral.
UAAGGAAUAUUGCUCAAUGGGAGAAAUCCUGAAGCAGCAACGCCGCGUGAGUGAUGACGGCCUUCGGGUUGUAAAGCUCUGUCUUCAGGGACGAUAAUGACGGUACCUGAGGAGGAAGCCACGGCUAACUACGUGCCAGCAGCCGCGGUAAUACGUAGGUGGCGAGCGUUGUCCGGAUUUACUGGGCGUAAAGGGAGCGUAGGCGGACUUUUAAGUGAGAUGUGAAAUACCCGGGCUCAACUUGGGUGCUGCAUUUCAAACUGGAAGUCUAGAGUGCAGGAGAGGAGAAUGGAAUUCCUAGUGUAGCGGUGAAAUGCGUAGAGAUUAGGAAGAACACCAGUGGCGAAGGCGAUUCUCUGGACUGUAACUGACGCUGAGGCACGAAAGCGUGGGGAGCAAACA